GCUGGGCAUGGUGGUGCACACCUGUAAUUCCAGCAGCUUGGGAGGCUGAGGCAGGGGGAUUGCAAGUUCAAAGCCAGCCUCAGCAAUUUAAUGAGGCCCUAAACAAUUUAGCGAAAUCCUAUCUCUA
This 127-nucleotide small RNA is filed under the name Marmota monax (woodchuck). Lineage: Eukaryota; Metazoa; Chordata; Mammalia; Rodentia; Sciuridae. The record is from RNAcentral.